RNAcentral lists this ribosomal RNA (249 nucleotides) under uncultured bacterium. RNAcentral's name for it is "partial 16S ribosomal RNA". It matches the Rfam family "Bacterial small subunit ribosomal RNA", at positions 524 to 769 of the family's 1533-position model. The record is from RNAcentral.
UACGUAGGGUGCGAGCGUUAAUCGGAAUUACUGGGCGUAAAGCGUGCGCAGGCGGUUUGUUAAGACAGAUGUGAAAUCCCCGGGCUUAACCUGGGAACUGCAUUUGUGACUGGCAAGCUAGAGUAUGGCAGAGGGGGGUAGAAUUCCACGGUGUAGCAGUGAAAUGCGUAGAGAUGUGGAGGAACACCGAUGGCGAAGGCAGCCCCCCUGGGAUAACACUGACGCUCAUGCACGAAAGCGUAGGGGAGC